RNAcentral lists this transfer RNA (53 nucleotides) under Bisetocreagris titanium. RNAcentral describes it as "tRNA-Glu". Lineage: Eukaryota; Metazoa; Arthropoda; Arachnida; Pseudoscorpiones; Neobisiidae. The record is from RNAcentral.
UUUUCAAUAGUGUACAUGCAUAUAACAUUUUCAAUGUUAAGGGGAGGGAAAUA